GCCACAUUGAAACACCAUGAAAAUCAAAUACCAAACAAACACCCCCAAGAAAGUAAAAGAGCAGUUUCAACUGAAGGAUGCAAGAGUGAGCCGUAACCAGGGAACAUCUAAUGCCUUCCGCAGCAGAGCAGCAAGGGUGCGCAGAGCCAUUCAAACCAGGCACCUGGAGCCCUGCAAAGGUCGGCGCUAUGAAGGAUGUCUGGCCAGCUGUUUGAAAUGGAAUUUGCACGAAGGUUUUCCAGGAAGGACACUAAAAGCUGAUCACAGGCUUGCUGUGAAAUCAUCAAAGAGAAUUAACCACUGAAGAUAUCUGGAAUACAGGGCUUGUCUAGGUGGUUCUCUCCCAAGUUUGGUCGAACCCAGGAGCCAGGCAAUUAGAUACUAAAAGAAGAUGGCUUAAAAUACGAAAGAAACCAUUUGCCUAGAGGAUGCCUCACAGCAAAAGUCUUUAUAUAACUCCCAACUCAUCUUUUCCUGUGACCUCAUCGACUGGUCCUUGUCACAUCAGACCAUCACCAGUUAUCCGUCAACUCCGUGCUCACUCUGACUGUGUAUUGACUUGGACCUGGCACCGGACUUGGUUCUGAGGAUACAUAGUUCAUGUUUUCCUUUCUGGAGAACUCACUGAAGAGAGAAACCUUGGCAGCCGUGAUGGUUUUCCCACCGUGGACUGCGUCGAAUAGGAACACUUGAAUGCCUUCGGAGACUUCAGUGGCCUUUCCCACCUUUGAAGACAGAAGGGAUGGAACCAGAAGCAGUAGGGUUAUUUCCUAACAUUUGUUGAGAUAAUUACAGGACAAUGCCUGAAUUUCCCAACCAGGGCAACAUCACUGGGGAGAGUACCUACCUUCUGAGUGUCUUUUGAAGCACAACCAUGGAUAAAUCCAAGUUCAAAGUGAUUAUCCAGUCAAGGGUGGGUUUUACAGAUGACUCUGUGGUUUUGUUGAAAACACUCCUUUAAUCUGUUGCAAAAUACCAGCACUCUUGCAGGGGCUUCAUUGAUAUCAUCAAACACCAAACAGGGAAAGUUUGGGAAGACCUGAGAUUGUCGGGAUAAAUGCAUCCUGCAGACAGAUACAGGGUGUUCAAAAUUACCCCAUCUUCCACUUCUCAAGUAAACGAAGUAAAAGUGGUGGAAUUGUGAUCUGCCCCAGAUCACCAGGCCAGGCAGAGGUUAAGUAGGUUGGAUGUACCUAUUUCUCAUGGUCUACAGUACGAUGAAUCUACUUCUUAAAAGAGUAUAAUUAAAUGCCUACGAUAGCCUCAGUGUGUUUGAGAUACACAGACAAGCAUGAUGAGAUUCCCUCCUCUACGGAGCAUAGAAGGAAUGAGAAACAGAAGAUUGUCUAUCUCUGUGUGACAAUUUAGACUGAUGAACCCAGAGCCAAGACCCCGGUAGAGAGUGAUUUAGCCACUUUGAGUCCAAAAUUUGAACAGACACUGAUAACUCAAGAAUCAAGUAAUAUUUCCCCAAUACAAAUAGUGUCAGUCUUGCUGGAUUUUUUUUCUUCUGCCAUAUGCUGCCUGGGCUGUUCCUACUCCGUCAGGCCAGCCCUAAUGGCCAUGUGCUCAUGAUCCACACGACCUCAGGGUGACUUCCUUUCUUCCUCCUCUCUCUUCCUCCUGAUCCCAAAUCUCCGACCUCAAGCCCCAGUACUUUUGCUCCACCCCUCUCUUCCACCCAGUCUAGGCUGCAGUCAUUAUUAACCAAUCAGUGAUAACUUGGGAGUGGGGGUUGGAGGGGGGACGACAAGGAUUCCAUAGUCUCAUCUGGGUAUCCACAUCUUGGGGCCAGUAUUUAUCAUUUGGAUACAUAGCAGCACCAGAUCGACCCCCUACCGAGAAUGGAUGAUCCUAGAACAUACAAUAUUGAAUGAGUUCACACCAUCUCAAAAAGUUCACAUUUUUCUACCAUAUGUAGAA
Long non-coding RNA from Mus musculus (house mouse), 1923 nucleotides. RefSeq annotates it as predicted gene, 34574. The record is from RefSeq and is a predicted model, not a curated record. NCBI's taxonomy places the organism in Eukaryota, Metazoa, Chordata, Mammalia, Rodentia, Muridae. The transcript is spliced from 6 exons.